GAUGAACGCUGGCGGCGUGCCUAAUACAUGCAAGUCGAACGAAAAGAUGCGGAGCUUGCUCCUCUCUCGUUAGCGGAGGACGGGAGUGUCACGCGUGUAUAACCUACCUAUAUGACUGGGAUCACUUGGGGACACCGGAGCUAAUACCAGAUAAUAUAUUGCACCACAUGGUUCAAUGGUGAAAGUCGGUUUUGCUGUAACUUCUAGAUGGAUACGCGCCGCUUUGGGUAGUUGGUAAGGUACCGGCUUACGACGGCGACGAUGCGUUGCCGACCUGACGGGGUGGUCGGCGACACGGGAACGGAGACACGGACCAUACUCCUACGGGAGGCAGCAGUAGGGAAUCGGACGCAAUAGGCGAGAGCAUGACAGAGCAACGCCGCGUGAGAGACGAAGGUCUUGGGAUCGUAAUGCUCUGUUAUUAGGUAAGAACAAAUGUGGAAGUAGCUAUGCACUGCUUGACGGUACCUAAUAAGAAAGCCACGGCUAACUACGUG
RNAcentral lists this ribosomal RNA (497 nucleotides) under uncultured bacterium. RNAcentral describes it as "partial 16S ribosomal RNA". It matches the Rfam family "Bacterial small subunit ribosomal RNA", at positions 28 to 507 of the family's 1533-position model. The record is from RNAcentral.